This 212-nucleotide ribosomal RNA is filed under the name uncultured bacterium. RNAcentral's name for it is "partial 16S ribosomal RNA". It matches the Rfam family "Bacterial small subunit ribosomal RNA", at positions 30 to 243 of the family's 1533-position model. The record is from RNAcentral.
AUUGAACGCUGGCGGCAUGCCUAACACAUGCAAGUCGAACGGGUAACAGGCCCUUCGGGUGCUGACGAGUGGCGGAUGGGUGAGUAAUACUUAGGAAUCUACCCUGUAGGUGGGGACGAACCCGGGGAACUCGGGCUAAUACCGCAUACGCUCUACGGAGGAAGGCGGGGACCGCAAGGCCUCGCGCUAUUGGAUGAGCCUAAGCCCGAUUA